ACGGUAACAGGAGGAAGCUUGCUUCCUUGCUGACGAGUGGCGGACGGGUGAGUAAAGCUUGGGAAUCUGUCUUAGGGAGGGGGAUAACCACGGGAAACUGUGGCUAAUACCGCGUAUAAUCGAGAGAUGAGAGGUGUGGGAUCGUAAGGCCACAUGCCCUGAGGUGAGCCCAAGUGAGAUUAGGUAGUUGGUGGGGUAAAGGCCUACCAAGCCGACGAUCUCUAGCUGGUCUGAGAGGAUGACCAGCCACACUGGGACUGAGACACGGCCCAGACUCCUACGGGAGGCAGCAGUGGGGAAUAUUGCGCAAUGGGGGCAACCCUGACGCAGCCACGCCGCGUGAAUGAAGAAGGCCUUCGGGUUGUAAAGUUCUUUCAGUGGUGAGGAAGGUAAUAAUGUUAAUAGUAUUAUUAAUUGACGUUAGCCACAGAAGAAGCACCGGCUAAUUCCGUGCCAGCAGCCGCGGUAAUACGGAAGGUGCGAGCGUUAAUCGGAAUAACUGGGCGUAAAGGGCACGCAGGCGGUAACUUAAGUGAGGUGUGAAAGCCCAGGGCUUAACCUUGGAAGUGCACUUCAUACUGGGUUACUAGAGUACUCUAGGGAGGGGUAGAAUUCCACGUGUAGCGGUGAAAUGCGUAGAGAUGUGGAGGA
This 651-nucleotide ribosomal RNA is filed under the name uncultured bacterium. Its description in RNAcentral is "bacterial SSU rRNA". It matches the Rfam family "Bacterial small subunit ribosomal RNA", at positions 66 to 705 of the family's 1533-position model. The record is from RNAcentral.